UACGUAGGGGGCUAGCGUUGUCCGGAAUCAUUGGGCGUAAAGCGCGUGUAGGCGGCCCGGUAAGUCCGCUGUGAAAGUCGGGGGCUCAACCCUCGGAUGCCGGUGGAUACUGUCGGGCUCGAGUACGGAAGAGGAGAAUGGAAUUCCUGGUGUGGCGGUGAAAUGCGCAGAUAUCAGGAAGAACACCCGUGGCGAAGGCGGUUCUCUGGGACGGUACUGACGCUGAGACGCGAAAGCGUGGGGAGCGAACAGG
This 253-nucleotide ribosomal RNA is filed under the name uncultured bacterium. RNAcentral describes it as "partial 16S ribosomal RNA". It matches the Rfam family "Bacterial small subunit ribosomal RNA", at positions 524 to 776 of the family's 1533-position model. The record is from RNAcentral.